Molecule: long non-coding RNA, 954 nt
Organism: Anneissia japonica
Lineage: Eukaryota; Metazoa; Echinodermata; Crinoidea; Comatulida; Comatulidae
Exons: 2
Source: RefSeq, a predicted model, not a curated record
AUUUCCAUUUUUUGUGGAGGCGGGUUUGCUAAUCGGCAAAAAAAUAAAAUGUUAUUUUUAUUUGGAAUCGUCAAUAUUUGUGUUCAGCAGGUUCGCUAAACAAGGUAAAAAAACCCCACCCUAUAGCCAGCAACUCGUUGCUUUUAAUACCCACACUACUGUAUAAUUGUAAGCCAGUGCUCUUAACCCACCUGAUAAACUGUAACCCAGUGCUCUCUUAAUUACCCAUCAUAUUAUAUUACAAGCGUAUAACAUGCGACAGGUUUCUUUUCUCCUUUCUGCUCUUAAUUUUCAUGAGUAUGUCUGACGUCAUCUUGGGCUUCCCAUGUUCUGAUUGGCUAAAAAAAAAAUCUAUAUUGCUUAUGUGUACUGCAAAGGAAAAAAAAAUAUGCGGGCGGGGCGGGGCGGAAAGGUCUAUAUUCAGAUUUUUAUUUUAAGUCUGUAUCGUGAGUGGAUUUCCUGCACGAUUAAAAAUCGUAACGGUACUGGGUUUGGUCUACAGUAUUCCGAAUUGUGCUUGUUUUCUUUUUUUUUGAAUUUGAUUUUACAGGUCUCCAAUAUAGACCACUUUUGAGACCGUGUUUUUUUUUUGUUUUUUUUUUUCGGUGGUGGUCUUCAGUAUCCCAUCGCUAUUGUUGCUAAGGCCCCACAAAUAUGUCAACGUAAUGUGCGCAAACGCGUGCGUCUGGGACAACACGUGUCUUUUCAGGAAUGCUUUAGGUUAGAUGAAACCGCCUGGUACUUGUAGACUAGACAGUAUAUAGCGCCGCCAACGAUAAAUACUUUCCUUUAUAGCCUUAAAUUUUGUAUCGUUGAUCGUGGUGAGCCGUGGCGUGUUGUUUAUUUCGAUUGAGCCGAAAGCAAUCGACCUUUGUAAGUGGUUAGCGGCACUACCCGUCUUGUGUGUCACAUCAAUAGCUGCUUGACAGUGCGUCAAUUUGAUACUCAUCACUU